AUGCGGCGGCGGCGGCGGCGGCGGAGGCGGGCGGGCGGGCGGCCGGGGGGCGGGCCGGGGGCGGGCCGAGGAUGGGGUUACCUGGGCGGGCCCAGCGGCCCGGGACACCCCCCGGGGGCGGGCCGGAGCGGCGGCGGCUGCCGCCCUAGCCCGCGGGACUGGGCUGCUCCGGGGCCUCCCCGGCUGGGCGCUCCGGAGGACUUGGGGCCCGAGCCCGCUCCAGGCACGCCUGGCUGCGCGCCGCCGAGCCCGGCCGGGCUAGAGGCGCGGCGACCCAGCUGCCCGGCCGCCGCCCGGGCCUCGGGGACGGGCGGGCACAGCUCCCCAACCCGCCGCUGCGGGCACUGCAGCGCGGCCCUCGCUGCCCCCCAACCCCCCACUGCCCCCCGCCGGCGCCUGGGAGCCCAGACCCCGGUCCGACCGCGGCAGACCCACCGGAGCGCGGCUGCCACUUGCGCGCACCCAGGCGCUGGCGCUCCGGGUGCCUGGGGCUGCACAUCUGGGCGCUGGAUGUCUCCCGGCCGCCCCCACCCGGUCCCUCCCUGCCUCCUGGCCCCCGCGUCCUGCGGCCCAGCCCCUCCCUGGCGCUCACCUCCCUACAGCUUUCCGGGAGCUGGACGGGGCCUCCCCAGCUUUGGGCAGCUUGGGACAGUGGCCCGAGACUGUGGGAAUCCGAAACCUCGCGUCUGGCUAGCCACAAGAUCUGGGCGCGCCCCAGGCAGCAGGGUCUUGACUCUGAGCCUCCGUUUUCUCAUCCGAGAAGUGGGCUUAAGACGCUGCGAUUGGGAGGACAGGAGGAGUUUAGGCAAGCUCUCUUGGCCCACUCACCAAGUCUUACUUUGCAUUUGGUUUUCUAUGUGCUUGUUCUAUUUAUCCUCCCAUACCAGGCGGAUUCAGCCUCUUGCUGGUUUCGGGCACAGGGCGGUGGCUGCCAUGUUUGUGGAAGGAAUAAAUGAAUGGAACGGAAUGGGCUGCAACAGCCUGUGCUUGGCUAGUCCAGAGAGCUCAAUUCCACACCACUGUAACCCCUAA
This 1032-nucleotide long non-coding RNA is filed under the name Macaca fascicularis (crab-eating macaque). RNAcentral describes it as "lncRNA (ENSMFAG00000053752.1)". The record is from RNAcentral. Lineage: Eukaryota; Metazoa; Chordata; Mammalia; Primates; Cercopithecidae.